AAUUUGAGUUAAAAUCAAUGAUUCAUUCAUUAAUUAUUGAGGUUUAAAUUUAUUAUAGAAAUUAUUUGGGAUUGAUUAGGAUUUGGUUUAAGAUUAGGGUUAGGAUUUUUGAUUGAUUUAAGAUUUAAUUAAAGUUAGGAUUUGGUUAGGAUUAGGAUUAGAAUUUUGGAUUUGAUUUAAGGUUUGAUUAGAGUUAAGAUUUGGUUUACAUUAGAAUUUGGUAAGGAUUUGGUUAAGAUUUGUCUAAGAUUUGAUUAGAAAUUAUUUAGGAUUUGGUUAGGAUUUAUUUAGGAUUUGUUUAAGAUUUGAAUAGGAUUUAUUUAAGAUUUGGUUAGUAUUUGUUUAAGAUUUGAUUACGAUUUGAUUAUGAUUUGAUUAGAAUUUGACUAGAGUUUGCCUAAGAUUUAAUUAGGACUUAUUUAGGAUUUAAUUAAGAAUUGAUUAGAAUUUAUUUAGGAUUUGAUUAGGAUUUAUUUACGAUUUAAUUAAGAAUUGGUUAGAAUUUUUUUAGGAUUAGAUGAGGGUUUGAUUAAGAUUUGAUUAGACUUUGACUAGGAUUUAUCUAAGAUUUGGUUAAGACUUAUUUAGAAGUUGACUUAGGUUUGACAAGGAUUUGACUAAGACUUGAUUAAGAUUUGAUUAAAGUUUGAUUAGAGUUUAAUUAAGGUUU
Molecule: long non-coding RNA, 670 nt
Filed under: Physcomitrium patens
Lineage: Eukaryota; Viridiplantae; Streptophyta; Bryopsida; Funariales; Funariaceae
Description: long non-coding RNA (PPAT_LNC002918)
Source: RNAcentral